GGUCAGGGUCUCAGAUUCACAGUGUAUUUUCUAUAUUAGCAGGUCAGGGUCUCAGAUUCACAGUGUAUUUUCUAUAUUAGCAGGUCAGGGUCUCAGAUUCACAGUGUAUUUUCUAUAUUAGCAGGUCAGGGUCUCAGAUUCACAGUGUAUUUUCUAUAUUAGCAGGUCAGGGUCUCAGAUUCACAGUGUAUUUUCUAUAUUAGCAGGUCAGGGUCUCAGAUUCACAGUGUAUUUUCUAUAUUAGCAGGUUAGGGUCAGGGUCUCAGAUUCACAGUGUAUUUUCUAUAUUAGCGGGUCAGGGUCUCAGAUUCACAGUGUAUUUUCUAUAUUAGCGGGUCAGGGUCUCAGAUUCACAGUGUAUUUUCUAUAUUAGCGGGUCAGGGUCUCAGAUUCACAGUGUAUUUUCUAUAUUAGCGGGUCAGGGUCUCAGAUUCACAGUGUAUUUUCUAUAUUAGCGGGUCAGGGUCUCAGAUUCACAGUGUAUUUUCUAUAUUAGCGGGUCAGGGUCUCAGAUUCACAGUGUAUUUUCUAUAUUAGCGGGUCAGGGUCUCAGAUUCACAGUGUAUUUUCUAUAUUAGCAGGUCAGGGUCUCAGAUUCACAGUGUAUUUUCUAUAUUAGCGGGUCAGGGUGUCAGAUUCACAGUGUAUUUUCUAUAUUAGCGGGUCAGGGUGUCAGAUUCACAGUGUAUUUUCUAUAUUAGCGGGUCAGGGUGUCAGAUUCACAGUGUAUUUUCUAUUUUAGCGGGUCAGGGUCUCAGAUUCACAGUGUAUUUUCUAUUUUAGCGGGUCAGGGUCUCAGAUUCACAGUGUA
Molecule: long non-coding RNA, 811 nt
Organism: Oncorhynchus keta (chum salmon)
Lineage: Eukaryota; Metazoa; Chordata; Actinopteri; Salmoniformes; Salmonidae
Exons: 6
Source: RefSeq, a predicted model, not a curated record